This is a long non-coding RNA of Drosophila miranda, 655 nucleotides long. RefSeq lists it as uncharacterized. The record is from RefSeq and is a predicted model, not a curated record. The transcript is spliced from 3 exons. Lineage: Eukaryota; Metazoa; Arthropoda; Insecta; Diptera; Drosophilidae.
ACUAGUUACGCGGGAAGCGAACGCGGACCAGUCGAAAAAGAACCGAAAAACGAAGCCGCCUUCGGUUUGUUUUUGAAGGCGGCAAAUAACCGCAAUUCCGUGGAGUUACAGUGCCCACUCAGCUAGUUUUUACCGAGCCACGACAUGCAAUAAGCACCGAAAUGGUAAGUUAAUCGUGAUAUUUUACUGUAGUUGCGCUCGUGGAAUGAAAGAGACAAGAAUUUACACAAACAAAAUGCAUUUGUUUUCCUCGUUUGCUUUAUGCGUUGAUUUUGUUCACUUCUGUACAACAUCUAAUCGCUGGAAGAGUCUUUUGUGUAAACAUUUAUUAAAAAAGUGGAAAAGAAUUAAUAAAUAAAUCAAAUUAAUAUAAACAGCCAGCUGGCGUUUUGAGCGGCUUAAACUUUAUUUUGAGUGAGGAAAUUGUUCUAGCCUAUAACGUCGAUGGGGUCCAAGGGAAGAAGGCCCUUAGGACCCACAAAGAAUUUUUUGCAGCUUUGCUAGAAUGUAUUCCGCCUGGCGAUGAGCCCCCCGAAAACACUGUGCGGAAGGCAAUGCAAAGGAUGAAGAAAAGGGUAUUUAAGAAGAAGUGUCUUGCCAAAAACCAGGAGUAGGCUAAGCAUCAUAUAAUUUAAAAUUAUUCGUUAUAAUGAAA